GAUUUGUUUAGCUUGAUUAAUUUGUUGGUGGCCAAGCCAUUUAGGAAGUCUUUAUCCAAUUCCAAAAGGCUAAAAUAAAUGUAAAAUAAAUCAUGUAUAAUGCUAAAAAUAAUUUUAAAAAAUUAAAUAAUAUUUUACACAACAAAUUAUUGAUUAAUUUUAGUUUUUAUGAUAUAGUUCUUCAAAAACACCGGUAAACCAAAUUUUCUAAUCAAAAUUAAUACUCUGAUCUGAAAAUAUGUAGAUUAAUCUGAACUGACCCAAAAUUCUUUAUGUAUAGCAAACCAAUGGGUAACUCAAAAUGACUCACAACUUGGAAUAAUCUGAACCACCCGACCUGACCCAUGAUUUACA
Molecule: unclassified non-coding RNA, 354 nt
Filed under: Hevea brasiliensis (rubber tree)
Lineage: Eukaryota; Viridiplantae; Streptophyta; Magnoliopsida; Malpighiales; Euphorbiaceae
Source: RNAcentral